AGUAUGUGGUUUAAUUCGAUAGCAACGCGAAGAACCUUACCUGGUCUUGACAUCCCGGAGACCCUUAGGAGACUAGGGGUGCUUCCAUCUGGAAGAAUCUGGAGACAGGUGCUGCAUGGCUGUCGUCAGCUCGUGUCGUGAGAUGUUGGGUUAAGUCCCGCAACGAGCGCAACCCUUGCCUUUAGUUGCCAGCAGUUCGGCUGGGCACUCUAAAGGGACUGCCGGUGUUAAACCGGAGGAAGGUGGGGAUGACGUCAAGUCCUCAUGGCCUUUAUGACCAGGGCUACACACGUACUACAAUGGCCGAUACAAAGGGCAGCGACACUGCGAGGUGAAGCCAAUCCGUAAAUCGGUCUCAGUCCGGAUUGGAGUCUGCAACUCGACUCCAUGAAGUUGGAAUCGCUAGUAAUCGUGGAUCAGCAUGCCACGGUGAAUACGUUCCCGGGCCUU
Molecule: ribosomal RNA, 450 nt
Filed under: uncultured Desulfobulbus sp.
Lineage: Bacteria; Pseudomonadati; Thermodesulfobacteriota; Desulfobulbia; Desulfobulbales; Desulfobulbaceae
Description: bacterial SSU rRNA
Rfam family: Bacterial small subunit ribosomal RNA
Source: RNAcentral